RNAcentral lists this ribosomal RNA (483 nucleotides) under uncultured bacterium. RNAcentral describes it as "partial 16S ribosomal RNA". It matches the Rfam family "Bacterial small subunit ribosomal RNA", at positions 28 to 507 of the family's 1533-position model. The record is from RNAcentral.
GACGAACGCUGGCGGCGUGCUUAACACAUGCAAGUCGAACGCUGAAGCUCAGCUUUUGUUGGGUGGAUGAGUGGCGAACGGGUGAGUAACACGUGAGUAACCUGCCUCCUUCUUUGGGAUAACGCCCGGAAACGGGUGCUAAUACUGGAUAUUCACUGGUCUUCGCAUGGGGGUUGGUGGAAAGGGUUUUUCUGGUGGGGGAUGGGCUCGCGGCCUAUCAGCUUGUUGGUGGGGUGAUGGCCUACCAAGGCUUUGACGGGUAGCUGGCCUGAGAGGGUGACCGGUCACAUUGGGACUGAGAUACGGCCCAGACUCCUACGGGAGGCAGCAGUGGGGAAUAAUGCACAAUGGGCGCAAGCCUGAUGCAGCGACGCCGCGUGAGGGAUGGAGGCCUUCGGGUUGUGAACCUCUUUCGCUCAUGGUCAAGCCGCAACAAUGGUUGUGGUGAGGGUAGUGGGUAAAGAAGCGCCGGCUAACUACGUG